Long non-coding RNA from Anolis carolinensis (green anole), 2053 nucleotides. RefSeq lists it as uncharacterized. The record is from RefSeq and is a predicted model, not a curated record. Lineage: Eukaryota; Metazoa; Chordata; Lepidosauria; Squamata; Anolidae. The transcript is spliced from 2 exons.
CCCCAUGGAGAGGCCUCUCCGUGGGGAUGAGGACUGAACCGGGAGGCGCUGUUUGCAACGCCUCCCAGUCCAGCCUUCGUCCCCAUGGAGAGGACUCUCCGUGGGGAUGAGGACUGAACCGGGAGGCGCUGUUUGCAACGCCUCCCAGUCCAGCCUUCGUCCCCAUGGAGAGGCCUCCCCGCGGUUGGGAGCACCCCUGCAACGAAGGGGCUCUCCCUCCCUUUGGCGGAGGCCUGGAGCCAGGGAAGUGACUCCCGCUUCCCUGGCUCCAAGCCUUCGCCAAAGGAAGAAAGCCCCUUCGUUCGGCGGGUGGGUGAACGGGGAGGGCCACAAAAGCCCUCCCCGUUCACCCACCCACCCCCCUGCCCGUGCCUCGGCUCCUUCGUUCCGCCGGGGCGGCAACACUGGUGCCCGGCGAGGCGAAGGAGUCGGACGUGCGUGUUGCUAGGUAGAUAACAAGCUACCUAGCAACACGCACAGGGCGCUGCCCCUUGGGAAGUGCCUCCUGCGUGUUGCUAGGUAGCUUACUAUCUACCUAGCAACACGCAGGGGCCACCUCCCAAGGGGCGAGCGCCCGGUGCAUGUUGCUAGGUAGCUUGCUAUCUACCUAGCAACACGCACGCCAGCGAGCAGGUGAACGGGGAGGGCCUUUACGGCCCUCCCCGUUCACCUGCUCGGAUUGCACGGAGGCUCGAACGAGCGGGGCUCGAACGAGUGGGGUUUUACUGUACAGUAAUUACAACAUAACAUUACUGCAUAUUGAACUGGUUUUUUUGUCAAAUUUGUUGUAAAACAUGAUGUUUUGGUGCUUAAUUUGUAAAAUCAUAACCUAAUUUGAUGAUUAAUAGUCUUUUCCUUAAUACCUCCUUAUUAUCCAAGAUAGUCGCUUAUCCAAGCUUCUGCCAGCCCGUUUAGCUUGGAUAAGUGAGACACUACUGUACUACAUUUCAAGUUUGAGACCUAUUUCUAAUAUUGAUAGGAUUAGGGAGCCAUUUGGCAUGAACAAUUGGAUCAAAAUACAGAGGUAGACAACCUCUACAAAUAGGUACAGUUAUUGCUAAGAAAACACGGAGAAGAACUUCUCUUCUUAUUUUCCUCUACAAGCUUUAUCUCUCUUUUUCUUUCUCUUUGACUUUGGUUUUCAGGCUGCACCUUUCAGACAGGAUGGCAUGGGGAAGAUAGUGAACCACAUUUCUCCAGGUACUUUUCAUAUCAAUCCUUUUUGGAUAUCAGCCAGAAUGCCAAUGUGUUAAAUCAAGAAAUAGCUUCCUAAGAUCUACAGAGAUACUUGCAGGAACAUCACAGCAAGCGAGAGUCCAAAAGUGGCAAGCUAAAACCCAGAACCUCAAUCCAUGGAUGUUACCAGAUGAGAAACUCCCUCCUGGGCAUACAGAAGACAGUGUGACUUGGAAGGCAUUGAACAGACUGUGCUCUGGCACCACAAGAUGCAAAGCCAAUCUUAAGAAAUAGGGCUACAAAGUAGAGUGUGGAGAAGAGCAAACCACAAACCAUUUACUACAAUGCAACCUAUGUCCUGCCACAUGCACAAUGGAGGACCUUCUCACAGUGACACCAUAGACACUCCAAGUGGCCAGCUUCUGUUCGAAGGAAAUCUAGUUUAGUAGAGUUUCGCUUAUCCAACAUAAACGAGCCGGCAGAAUAUUGGAUAAGCAAAAAUGUUGGAUAAUAAGGAGGGAUUAAGGGAAAGCCUAUUAAAUGUCAAAUUACAUUAUAAUUUUACAAAUUAAGCAUCAAAAUAUGUUUUACAACAAAUUGACAGAAAAAGUAGUUCUAUACAUGGUAAUGUUAUAUAGUAUUUACAAAUUUAGCACCAAAACAUUACAAUGUAUUGAAAAAUUGACUACAAAAAACAUGGACUACUAAAAGGCAGACUGCACUGGAUAAUACAAAAUGUUGGAUUAACGAAGGUUGGAUAAGCGAUACUCUACUGUAUAAUGCCAUGUUUUAAACUUUGUUCGUGUUUUUAAAUACAUUAUAACUAUAUCCUCAAUUCCCUUCUGACACGAUAAAUAAAUAAUGGAAUAUACUGGUA